This 82-nucleotide transfer RNA is filed under the name Perca flavescens (yellow perch). It matches the Rfam family "tRNA". Rfam says of the family: Transfer RNA (tRNA) molecules are approximately 80 nucleotides in length. Lineage: Eukaryota; Metazoa; Chordata; Actinopteri; Perciformes; Percidae. The record is from Rfam by way of RNAcentral.
GCUGUGGUGACCGAGUGGUUAAGGCGUUGGACUUGAAAUCCAAUGGGGUUUCCCUGCGCAGUUUCAAACCCUGCUCACAGUC